This 77-nucleotide transfer RNA is filed under the name Sphingomonas sp. AP4-R1. RNAcentral's name for it is "tRNA-Arg". It matches the Rfam family "tRNA". Rfam says of the family: Transfer RNA (tRNA) molecules are approximately 80 nucleotides in length. Their secondary structure includes four short double-helical elements and three loops (D, anti-codon, and T loops). Further hydrogen bonds mediate the characteristic L-shaped molecular structure. tRNAs have two regions of fundamental functional importance: the anti-codon, which is responsible for specific mRNA codon recognition, and the 3' end, to which the tRNAs corresponding amino acid is attached (by aminoacyl-tRNA synthetases). tRNAs cope with the degeneracy of the genetic code in two manners: having more than one tRNA (with a specific anti-codon) for a particular amino acid; and 'wobble' base-pairing, i.e. permitting non-standard base-pairing at the 3rd anti-codon position. Lineage: Bacteria; Pseudomonadati; Pseudomonadota; Alphaproteobacteria; Sphingomonadales; Sphingomonadaceae. The record is from RNAcentral.
GCAUCCGUAGCUCAGCUGGAUAGAGCGCUGCCCUCCGAAGGCAGAGGCCAGGGGUUCGAAUCCCUUCGGGUGCACCA